Long non-coding RNA from Scatophagus argus, 372 nucleotides. RefSeq lists it as uncharacterized. The record is from RefSeq and is a predicted model, not a curated record. NCBI's taxonomy places the organism in Eukaryota, Metazoa, Chordata, Actinopteri, Scatophagidae. The transcript has 2 exons.
UGGUUUGUGUGUCUACAUGUGAGCUGGGUAUGGUCUCCUGGUCAUUCCUGCCUACUCACCUGCACAGCUGAGUCUUGUCACCUAAUCAACUCCACCUGCUUCCUGAGUUCCAGUAUUCACUCUCCAAGAUCUGCUCCACACCAGGCUCUGCCAGCAACUCAUUCCCUAAAGAUUUCCCUGUGGAGUCAAUGCUUCAUCUCCUGAAAACUGAACUCUCUAACCAUUUCCUGCUCUCCCUGGAAGAUUCACACAGCUCAGUCCCAGACUGUUAAAUCAGCAGUCUCAGACCUCGUACAGACUCCAAGUGUCUCCUUCAGAUAAGAACUGUUGUAAGUUACACUUUUUGUGAAUAAAAAAACUGUUCAAUUUUAA